AAUGUCGCAAGUGAGGUAAUCUUCACACAACCCAUGUAAUACAUAAGGGAAAAGAUACAUAGUUGGCUUACAAUCGCCACUUCACACAAUUACAUGAAUAAAUCAUUACAUCAACCAGAUACAAUCAAGGUCCGACUACGGAACCAAAAUAAAAGAAGAACCCCAAAUGCUACACAGAUCCCCGAUCGUCCCGACUGGGCUCCACUACUGAUCAACUAGAACGAAACAACAUAAAGGACAAGAUCUUCAUUGAGCUCCUCCUGAGCUUGGUUGCGUCAUCUGCACGGACUCAUCGACACCUGCAAGCUGGGUUUGGAAGUAUCUGUGAGUCACGAGGACUCAACAAUCUCGCACCCUCGCGAUCAAGACUAUUUAAGCUUAUGGGUAAGGUAAAAGGUAUGAGGUGGAGCUGCAGCAAGCGACUAGCAUAUAUGGUGGCUAAACAUACGCAAAUGAGAGCGAGAAGAGAAGGCAAAGCACGACCGAGAAACUAUGAUCAAGAAGUGAUCCUAGAACAACCUACGUCAAGCAUAACUCCAACACCGUGUUCACUUCCCGGACCCCGCCGAGAAGAGACCAUCACGGUUACACACGUGGUUGAUGCAUUUUAAUUAAGGUCAACUUCAGGUUUUCUACAACCGGACAUUAACAAAUUCCCAUCUGCCCAUAAUCGCGGGCACGGCUUUCGAAAGUUCAAAUCCCUGCAGGGGUGUCCCAACUUAGCCCAUGACAAACUCUCAUGGUCAACGAAGGAGUAGACCUUCUCCCGAGACAUUCCGAUCAGACUGGGUAUCCCCAGUUCUACAAGACACUUCGACAAGUUAAAACAAAUCCAGCAAUACCGCCCGAAUGUGCCGACAAAUCCCGAUAGGAGCUGCACAUAUCUCUAUCUCAAGGCACACUCAGAUUGUCCUAGGUACGGGUAGGCCAGCCCAGAGUUGCCCCUGGUGCCCACCGGUAGCUGACAGGUUGGACCAACACUCAGAGGAGCACUGGCUCGGGGGGGGGGGGUAAAAUAAUGAUGACCCUUGAGUCUGCAAAACCCAAGGGAAAGAAAAGGCUAGGUGGCAAAUGGUAAAACCAAUGUUGGGCAUUGCUGGAGGAGUUUUACUCAAGGCAAACUAUCAAGGGGUUCCCAUAAUAGCCCAACCGCGUAAGGAACGCAAAAUCCGGGAACAUAACACCGAUAUGACGGAAACUAGGGCGGCAAGAGUGGAACAAAACACCAGGCAUAAGGCCGAGCCUUCCACCCUUUACCAAGUAUAUAGAUGCAUUAAUUAAAUAAGAUAUAUUGUGAUAUCCCAACAAGUAAACAUGUUCCAACAAGGAACAACAUCUCCAUGUUCCAACAAGGAACAAACUUCAAUCUUCACCUGCAACUAACAAUGCUAUAAGAGGGGCUGAGCAAAGCGGUAACAUAGCCAAACAACGGUUUGCUAGGACAAGGUGGGUUAGAGGCUUGGUUCAACAAUAUGGGAGGCAUGAUACGCAAGUGGUAGGUAUCGCAGCAUAGGCAUAGCAAAAGAGCGAGCAACUAGCAAGCAAAGAUAGAAGUGAUUUCGAGGGUAUGGUCAUCUUGCCUGAAAUCCCACAAGGAAGAAGAACGAGUCCAUGAAGAAGACAAACGGACGUAGACGAACGGUUCCUCACAAACGCGACGUUAUCGGUAACAACCCGAAGAAGCAACACCGGAAAGAAGCAAACAACAUAGUAAACAACCACCACAUAAUCAUGGCAUGAUGCACAAUCAAGUAUAAUGCAUGUACGGUUUAACGAAGCAUGGCAUGGCAAAAUGCACAAGCAAUCCUACAAAUUAAGUGGAGCUCAACAUGCAACGGGUUGCAUAUUGACGAAACACCACAUUCAAAUUAUUUAGUUCG
Molecule: long non-coding RNA, 1880 nt
Filed under: Triticum aestivum (bread wheat)
Lineage: Eukaryota; Viridiplantae; Streptophyta; Magnoliopsida; Poales; Poaceae
Description: long non-coding RNA (TAES_LNC005135)
Source: RNAcentral